ACGCGAAGAACCUUACCAGGUCUUGACAUCCGGCUAACGAAGUAGAGAUACAUCAGGUGCCCUUCGGGGAAAGCCGAGACAGGUGGUGCAUGGUUGUCGUCAGCUCGUGUCGUGAGAUGUUGGGUUAAGUCCCGCAACGAGCGCAACCCUUGCUGUUAGUUGCUACGCAAGAGCACUCUAACAGGACUGCCGUUGACAAAACGGAGGAAGGUGGGGACGACGUCAAAUCAUCAUGCCCCUUAUGACCUGGGCUACACACGUACUACAAUGGCCGCAAACAAAGGGAAGCAAGACUGUGAAGUGGAGCGAAACCCGAAAAGCGGUCCCAGUUCGGAUUGCAGGCUGCAACCCGCCUGCAUGAAGUCGGAAUUGCUAGUAAUCGCGGAUCAGCAUGCCGCGGUGAA
Molecule: ribosomal RNA, 404 nt
Filed under: uncultured bacterium
Lineage: Bacteria
Description: bacterial SSU rRNA
Rfam family: Bacterial small subunit ribosomal RNA
Source: RNAcentral